Molecule: long non-coding RNA, 1266 nt
Organism: Oncorhynchus nerka (sockeye salmon)
Lineage: Eukaryota; Metazoa; Chordata; Actinopteri; Salmoniformes; Salmonidae
Exons: 2
Source: RefSeq, a predicted model, not a curated record
GAUCCCCCGGUCUGCAGUGUGCUGGCGGGAUGUGAUUGAAAAUGAUUGAUGCAGACAGAAUGGAGAGAAUCCCAGACUGUCACAAGAUAAAUGAGUUGAGUGUGCGGGAGGUGAACCACAGCUGACUCUGCAGAGGUGGAAUCAAAGAGCCCAUCCCUCCCCCCCGGGUUAUCGGUGGCCAGCCAGUAUGUACGGUGAGACGCCUCCUGAAGGUUCGACCACAGGGCAGGGGUUUCCAGUACCCGGUUGAUUGGGAGGGUUAUGGCCCGGAGGAGAGGUGCUGGGUCCCGGCUAAAGACAUCUUGGACCCGGUCCUCAUUGCCGAUUUCCACCACGGACACCCCGGUCAGCCAGAUAUGCACCCAGGCAGGACGCCAAGUGGCGUCGCUGGGGGAGGGGAGGGGGGUACUGUCAUGUCCUGAUCUGUUUCACCUGUUGCUGUAAUUGUCUCCACCCCCUCCAGGUGUCGCUUAUUUUCCCCAGUGUAUUUAUCCCUGUAUUUCCUGUCUCUCGUUGCCAGUUUGUUUUGUAUGUUUAGUCAAGUCAACCAGCAUGUUUUUCCUGCACUUAUUUUUGCUAUUCUCCUUUUUCUAGUCCUCCCGGUUUUGACCCUUGCCUGUUUCUGGAAUCUGUACCCACCUGCCUGACCAUUCUGCCUGCCUUGACCACGAGCCUGUCUGCCACUCUGUAUCUCCUGGACUCUGAUCUGGUUUCGACCUUUUGCCUGUCCACGUCUAUUCUCUUGCCUACCCUUUUUGAUGAUUAAACAUUGUAAGACUCCUACCAUCUGCCUCCUGUGUCUGCAUCUGGGUCUCGCCUUGAUAGAUUUCACUACCUUAAGCCGCCUCCAGUGUCGUUUUUGAGAUUUUGGCAGUAUGUCCAACCGGCCUCACAACUGCAGACAAUAUGUAUGGCGUCGUGUGGGUGCGCAUUAGCCCAUUUUAUUGUUGUUGUAUCUGUGACCAACAGAUGCAUGUCUGUAUUCCCAUCGAUUAGGGCUUAAUGCAUUUAUUUCAAUUGACUGAUUUGUCACGCCUUGGUCAUAAUGUUUUGUGUUUUUCGUUAUAUAUUUUGGUCAGGCCAGGGUGUGACAUGGGUUAUGUGUUGUGUUCAUAUUGGGGUUUUAUAGUAUUGGGAUUUUGAAUGAUUAGGGGUGUGUCUAGUUAGGCUUGGCUGCCUGAGGCGGUUCUCAAUCAUUCGUUUGUUAUUUGGUAUCAGUUAUUUCAUGUAUCGCGAUCCUUCAUUAAAGAUCAUGAGUAACCACCA